Non-coding RNA from Pogona vitticeps (central bearded dragon), 3305 nucleotides. The record is from RefSeq and is a predicted model, not a curated record. NCBI's taxonomy places the organism in Eukaryota, Metazoa, Chordata, Lepidosauria, Squamata, Agamidae.
GAGAGGGAGACUUCUUCCUCCUCCUCCUCCCCACCUCCCUAGUUAAGGCGGCUUUGGGUGCGAGACUGUCGCUCCGUGGCCCGCGGCGGGUGGGAGAGGCGCACACCGCACGCGCGCACCGCACGCGCCCAGCCCGGGGAAGGGAGAGCGCGCGCCGCUGGCUGGGGAGGGAAAAAGGCCAGGAGGGAGGCGGCGGCGGCCGAGGGGAGGCGCUGUCCGAGGUGCUGAAGCGAACGCGUCGCCUCCCCUUCGCCCGCGGUGCCCCCCGAGCUGGGCUCCCCGAACGCGGCGCGGCGCCUGGGCGGCAGCAGAGGUAUCCCAAGUCCAGCAGGCAGGCGGGCGAGGGCAGGCAGGAGGCGACGCUUCACGCCCCGCCAAGUCCAUUCCCUUCCCUCUUCCUCUUCCUCUUCUUCCUCCUCCUCACACCCCUCUUGGGUUACCCGGGCAGCCCCUCCAAAGUGCAGCCGCUCAGACUAUGGAGCAGGAGCAAUAUUUGCCCGAGCUGAUGGCCGAGAAAGAUAGCCUGGAUCCUUCCUUUGUUCACGCGAUGCGCCUUUUGGCUGAAGAAAUUGAAAAGUUCCAGAGUUCUGAGGAAAAGAAGGACGAUGAAGAAAAGAAAUAUCUUGAUGUCAUCAGCAACAAAAAUAUAAAGCUGUCUGAAAGAGUAUUGAUUCCUGUCAAACAGUAUCCAAAGUUUAACUUUGUGGGCAAACUGCUGGGUCCAAGAGGAAAUUCUUUGAAAAGGUUACAAGAAGAAACAGGUGCAAAAAUGUCGAUCCUUGGUAAAGGUUCAAUGAGGGACAAAGCCAAGGAAGAAGAACUAAGGAAGAGUGGGGAAGCCAAAUAUGGACACUUGAGUGAUGAACUUCAUGUAUUAAUUGAAGUAUUUGCCCCACCCGGGGAAGCUUAUUCACGGAUGAGUCAUGCCUUGGAAGAAAUCAAAAAAUUCCUUGUUCCAGAUUAUAAUGAUGAAAUCCGCCAGGAGCAACUGAGAGAAUUAUCAUAUUUAAAUGGUUCAGAGGAUUCAGCUCGUGGACGAAGCAUUAGAGGAAGAGGGAUCCGAGUUCCCCCUGCAACACCUUCAAGGGGAUGUGGAAGUGCAAUCCCCCCUACACCACCUGGACGAGGUGCUCAAGCGCCAAGAGGAGCUCCAGUGACACGUGGAGCGCUUGCGGUCCCUCCUGUAGCCAGGGGUGUUCCUACCACUCGAGCACGAGGAAUUCCACCUGUACCAGGUUACAGGCCACCCCCUCCCCCAGCACAUGAACCCUAUGAGGAAUAUGGAUACGAUGAUGGAUAUGGGGGUGAAUAUGAUGAACCAAGUUAUGAGGCUUAUGAUAAUAGCUAUGCCACACAAACACAGAGUCUGCCCGAGUAUUAUGACUAUGGUCACGGAACAAGCGAAGAUGCUUAUGACAGUUAUGCACAAGAAGAGUGGGCCAUAAGCCGUCCCAGCCUAAAGGCACCACCUCCCAGGUCAACCAGAGGGGGUUACAGGGAACACCCCUAUGGUAGAUAUUGAAGGUCCUCCUCAUCUGUGACCUCAGCUUAAAGACAAUAAUAACCCGUGGUCUCCGCAUAAACGGCAACACGACAAGGAUCCAAACACAAUGGGCAGCAAAUCAGAAGACUCUAAAGUAACUUCCUGGUAAGCAAAAAUGCAGUCCAUUACUGGAUAGGAGUGGGGGGCAUAAUUUCUUUUCCUCAAUGUUUGGAUAUUCUUAUUCCAUGGAAUGAAUGGCUUAUAAAGGACCAUUUCUGUUCAUUCAGAUGAUGGUCACAGACUUCAGUGCCUACAUAGAAGUAAGCCCCAAUUGACCAUGCUGGGAUUUUGUGUCUGAGCAAAGAUGAUCGGGAUCAUGCUGCAGAGGUGAUGUCAUACAUACAAUGCUGAUGACAUCCAAUAGGUGACAGAAUACAUUUCUGUUUGAAAAUAAAGGGCUAUGUUACGGGGGAAAAGAUGUAUAAACAAACUGGGUGUUUUUAUGAAUGCUUGCCAGUUUAUUAAGCAGAUUCUGGUGUCUGACAAUUCUUAUGGUAGCAAUGAACGUGACAUAUUGAGUCGUUUUUCUUUCAAAGGCAGGAGCUCUUCUUACGAAAAUCAACAUAUAAAUUUUGUAAACAAACUAUCCACGGGGAGCAGAAAGGCAUUAAAUGGGCAAUUUGCAUUUCAAAACACAGGUGAAGCAUCAAAUUGGCAUGCUACCAGUUUCUAUAAAGUUUGUGCCAGGAGAACUGAUUACUCACAACCCUUGCUGACAGACAUUGCAUACUGAUAUAACUUUUUGUACAUGUGUUCCUCUACAGGAUCAUUAUGGCUUCCAGUGAAUAGCUUGGGUUUUGGAAUGGACUGUGUGUGUUCCACAAAAAGCAGAUAUGUGAUUUACGACAGCCCAAGGAACAAAGCAAGGUACAGAGCACUUCAUUAUAUGCACGCCUGGAAACCCUUAAAUGGAUGAGGCAGCUAUUUGCAUCUGAUAGGAGCUAAGUGGGACAUUAAAUUAAUGCCAAACAAGCUAGUGACAACUGUAAGCCAGAGAGAAAUGCCAUGGCCAGCAAAUCAAAACACUGUGUUUGAAAAGGUCAAGACAAUAUUUGCCUCCUUAGCAUUCCGAGGAGGGCUUACCAGAACAUUUUGCCAUCUUUCUGUCUCCCUUGAAGACGGUGGGGGAGGAUCAUGACAAAGACUGUUGACGAAGUGAGGAGGAAAGAAAGUACGAGAAAUAAAUCUUUUGGAAGCAGUCAACAAAUGACGUCUGUGUGAAUCAUUCUUACUUGGGAAGGCUGCUGAAGUGACUAGGACCACAUUAGAUAUACUGCAUGAAGUGUCUGUAUCCAGGAUGUCAUAGGAACAUUUUCAAUAAUAUUGGUCCAGUUGGAUCAUCUUGAUUCAAAGCGAUUUCCUACUAAAUGGAGAGAAGCUUUCAGUCAAACAGAUCACAGGCCUUAGUCACCCAGUAUUAUUUCACAUUAAUCACUGCACUGAGGGACGUUGAUGUUAUUUGACUCCAGUAGUAUUUAUACUGACAGAUGAUUUAAAAUGAGGGGGGAAAUAUUUAAAAAGCUUUCAAGGAGUUCAUGUUGACAUGUACUGUCUGCAUGUGCACACAUGCGCAAGAGCACAUGCAUACUUGAGUGCCUGGUGCUGUAGACUCCUAGAUGCUGUCACCUGUAUAUGAGCUUCCUGAGGCAUCUAAGCCAUGCCAGAUGGACCAGAGAGCUCUUCAUGUGAUACAGGUAAAACUUUGUAGGUUCUUAGUAGUGGCCUAAGUCCUGCUCCAUGUAUUAGCGUAUCUGUUACAAAA